UCACGCCCGAAGUCGUUACUUCAACCCGCAAGGGAGGAGGAUGCCGAAGGUGGGGCUGAUGACUGGGGUGAAGUCGUAACAAGGUAGCCGUACCGGAAGGUGCGGCUGGAUCACCUCCUAACAGGGAUAUUAAACAUUGAAUGAUGAUCAUCAAUUUUGUAUGGUCCAUUUAACUGUUCAUCUCUAGGUCGAUCGGUACCUCAAUGACCCUUCAAUUUUAAGUAAUCUAUUUAUUUAGUUCACUUAAUUAUUAAUGUGGUUAUCUCGGUCCUUAAGCUUGUCUAGGUCACACCCCAUAGCUGCUAAGCUAUGGAGAUGGGCCCGAAAGGGUUCCUGGGCCAUUAGCUCAGGUGGUUAGAGCGCACCCCUGAUAAGGGUGAGGUCCCUGGUUCAAGUCCAGGAUGGCCCAUUCAACAUCCCCAGGGAUGAUUGGGGGUUUAGCUCAGUUGGUAGAGCGCCUGCUUUGCAAGCAGGAUGUCAGCGGUUCGAGUCCGCUAACCUCCAUCGAACAUUUGUGAUCUAGAAGGUAAUGGUGAAACCAGCCUCGUUUGAUUCUUUAAUCAUUAAGUCCAUGUUUUGGCCUUAUUUGAGAAGUUCAAACGAUGCUGGGCUCAGCAAUGGGUUCAGCAAAGAACCUUGACAACUGCAUAGGUGAAUCUGGAAAUAAGCAUCUAACAGAUGAUCCAGAAGAAGGUUUUGUAAACGAAAGUUUGCUUUAUUUUCUAAUGGAUCAAACAAUUCUGUAGAAAGCCGAGAUCUAGCUUUAUUGGGGAAACUCUUCUUUCACGAGGGGAGUGAAACUAAUUUAGUUAGAUAAAAAUGGUCAAGUUACAAAGGGCUCACGGUGGAUACCUAGGCACACAGAGG
RNAcentral lists this unclassified non-coding RNA (867 nucleotides) under uncultured Synechococcus sp. Its description in RNAcentral is "partial contains 16S ribosomal RNA, 16S-23S ribosomal RNA intergenic spacer, and 23S ribosomal RNA". The stretch from base 1 to 121 matches the Rfam family "Bacterial small subunit ribosomal RNA", at positions 1415 to 1533 of the family's 1533-position model. The record is from RNAcentral. Lineage: Bacteria; Bacillati; Cyanobacteriota; Cyanophyceae; Synechococcales; Synechococcaceae.